This 45-nucleotide non-coding RNA is filed under the name Schistosoma mansoni. The record is from RNAcentral. Lineage: Eukaryota; Metazoa; Platyhelminthes; Trematoda; Strigeidida; Schistosomatidae.
AUUCAGCUGACGAGUCCUGAAUGGGACGAAGCACGGGUCUUGGAU